UACAGAGGUCUCAAGCGUUGUUCGGAUUCAUUGGGCGUAAAGGGUGCGUAGGCGGCGCGGUAAGUCGGGUGUGAAAUUUCGAGGCUUAACUUCGAAACUGCAUUCGAUACUGCCGUGCUUGAGGACUGGAGAGGAGACUGGAAUUUACGGUGUAGCGGUGAAAUGCGUAGAUAUCGUAAGGAAGACCAGUGGCGAAGGCGGGUCUCUGGACAGUUCCUGACGCUGAGACACGAAGGCCAGGGGAGUAAACGGG
This 253-nucleotide ribosomal RNA is filed under the name uncultured bacterium. RNAcentral's name for it is "partial 16S ribosomal RNA". It matches the Rfam family "Bacterial small subunit ribosomal RNA", at positions 524 to 776 of the family's 1533-position model. The record is from RNAcentral.